AUACCUUUCUCGGCCUCUUGGCUAAGAUCAAGUGUAGUAUCUGUUCUUGUCAGUUUAAUAUCUGAUAUGUGGAUCUUCGAAUCCACACUAUGAUAUUAAUUUAAUUUUUUUUUUGGGGGAAGGCCUUUAAAAUGUAGCUUGCUGCAUGGGUCCUCAUGUGUCGUCCAAGUGUUGCACUAUUGUUUGGAAUAGGCACACCCCAA
Molecule: small nuclear RNA, 203 nt
Filed under: Triticum turgidum subsp. durum (durum wheat)
Lineage: Eukaryota; Viridiplantae; Streptophyta; Magnoliopsida; Poales; Poaceae
Also listed under: 1 other name
Description: Triticum durum (durum wheat) U2 spliceosomal RNA
Rfam family: U2 spliceosomal RNA
About the family: U2 is a small nuclear RNA (snRNA) component of the spliceosome (involved in pre-mRNA splicing). Complementary binding between U2 snRNA (in an area lying towards the 5' end but 3' to hairpin I) and the branchpoint sequence (BPS) of the intron results the bulging out of an unpaired adenosine, on the BPS, which initiates a nucleophilic attack at the intronic 5' splice site, thus starting the first of two transesterification reactions that mediate splicing.
Source: Rfam by way of RNAcentral